GUCGAGUUCAGGACCACGGUCCGGUAUCA
RNAcentral lists this small RNA (29 nucleotides) under Bombyx mori (domestic silkworm). Its description in RNAcentral is "ovarian small RNA-17773". The record is from RNAcentral. Lineage: Eukaryota; Metazoa; Arthropoda; Insecta; Lepidoptera; Bombycidae.